Misgurnus anguillicaudatus (oriental weatherfish) is the source of this 368-nucleotide non-coding RNA. NCBI's taxonomy places the organism in Eukaryota, Metazoa, Chordata, Actinopteri, Cypriniformes, Cobitidae. The record is from RefSeq and is a predicted model, not a curated record.
AUAAGAAUGAGACAGAAGAUAAUGAUCACCUACAACACAACAACACAACCACAACACAACAUUCAGCUCUGACACUUAGAUCCAUCUUAUUGAAUGUCCUGCUCCUCAUCAUAAUAAUAGGUCUGUUGAUGGCAAGAUGUCAGAAACCAAAAAAAAGUCUAAAACCACAGUCGACUGCUAAGGUCGCGCUUAAGCAGAUUAAUGACCUGAAUACAGCUGAGUUUACAGAAGUGGAGUUUCGUCUGUGUGAAUAACAUUGCAGUGAGGCCGGCAGCAUUUUUACAUCACAAACUAACAAUAAAAUGAAGACAUAAACAAACACAAUAUGAAUCUGUCUGUCUGUAUAGCCUAACAAUAUAAAUACUUAC